RNAcentral lists this ribosomal RNA (874 nucleotides) under Isopora palifera. Its description in RNAcentral is "partial small subunit ribosomal RNA". It matches the Rfam family "Bacterial small subunit ribosomal RNA", at positions 301 to 1484 of the family's 1533-position model. Lineage: Eukaryota; Metazoa; Cnidaria; Anthozoa; Scleractinia; Acroporidae. The record is from RNAcentral.
GGAAAGCUCAAAUGGGGAAUUGGCCCCGGAGGCAGCAGUAAAGAAUUUUGUGCAAUAUAUGAAGGUAAGACACAGAGAGGGCACCUUGCCUAGUCCGUCAAAUUAAGUGCCAGCAGACGCGGUGAAACUUAAGGGCUAGUUUUGUGGGCAAAAGCGUAAAGGGUGUGAUAGGCCGUUUUAAUUAAAAAGGGUUUUAUAAUUUAAGAAGGUAAAUGGAAUUUUUUUGUAGCGGUGGAAUGUGUAAAUAGAAAAAAGAACUUUAGACGUGAAGACUAUUUAUUUUUGAGAUUAUAGUGUGGUGGCUAAAACACGAGAGUAUGGGGAGCAAACAGGAUUAGGGACCCUGGUAGUCUAUACUGUAAAUAAUGAAAAAGAUGUGAAGCAAUCCUAAAAAGUCAGAAAUUUUCCGCUUGAGUAGUACGACCGCAAGGUUAAAAUUCAAAAAACUUGGCUGUUCACUGUUUUAAUUAGAGGAGCGUGUCGUUUAAUUCGAUAGUCCGCGAGAGACCUUACCCAAACUUGAAUCCCUCAUUGACAGGUAUUGCAUGGCCGUCGUCAAUUUGUGUAUUAAACAUAAAACAGAUUUAACCCAGUGGUUUGUCACUUGGAUGAAGUCAGGUCUUAUUGUCCUAAUGUUUGGGGAUUAGAUGCGCUACAUUUUUUUAUACAAUAGGAAACUUUGAGUGUGAAACCUGAAAAUAAGAGUUCGGAAAGUGCCUGGAAGAUAACGGAAAGUUGUAUUUAAUAGUAAUUGAAAAGUAGAGCGUUUCAAUGAAAUUUUUUCAGUGUUAGUACAAAUUGCCCGUCGCCUUUGCUUAGACAGGUUGGUUGAUUGCCCCUCAAGAGGGUUUCUAAUACCUCCGAGGCAGAGUAA